RNAcentral lists this non-coding RNA (253 nucleotides) under uncultured bacterium. Its description in RNAcentral is "partial 16S ribosomal RNA". It matches the Rfam family "Bacterial small subunit ribosomal RNA", at positions 524 to 776 of the family's 1533-position model. The record is from RNAcentral. RNAcentral also lists the same sequence under 1 other name.
UACGUAGGGUGCGAGCGUUAAUCGGAAUUACUGGGCGUAAAGUGUGCGCAGGCGGCGUCGCAAGUCGAGUGUGAAAGCCCCGGGCUUAACUUGGGAAUUGCGCUCGAAACUACGGUGCUGGAGUAUGGCAGAGGAAGGUGGAAUUCCACGUGUAGCGGUGAAAUGCGUAGAGAUGUGGAGGAACACCGAUGGCGAAGGCAGCCUUCUGGGCCAAUACUGACGCUCAUGCACGAAAGCGUGGGGAGCAAACAGG